UACAGGGGGUGCAAGCGUUAUUCGGAAUUAUUGGGCGUAAAGAGCGCGUAGGCGGUUUGGUAAGUUUGGUGUGAAAGUCCCGGACUCAAUUCGGGAAGUGCAUUGAAUACUGCCAGACUGGAGUACUGGAGAGGUAAGCGGAAUUCCUGGUGUAGAGGUGAAAUUCGUAGAUAUCAGGAGGAACAACAGAAGCGAAGGCGGCUUACUGGACAGUUACUGACGCUGAGGCGCGAAAGCGUGGGGAGCAAACAGG
RNAcentral lists this ribosomal RNA (253 nucleotides) under uncultured bacterium. RNAcentral's name for it is "partial 16S ribosomal RNA". It matches the Rfam family "Bacterial small subunit ribosomal RNA", at positions 524 to 776 of the family's 1533-position model. The record is from RNAcentral.